GACGAACGCUGGCGGCGUGCCUAAUACAUGCAAGUAGAACGCUGAAGAGAGGAGCUUGCUCUUCUUGGAUGAGUUGCGAACGGGUGAGUAACGCGUAGGUAACCUGCCUUGUAGCGGGGGAUAACUAUUGGAAACGAUAGCUAAUACCGCAUAACAAUGGAUGACACAUGUCAUUUAUUUGAAAGGGGCAAUUGCUCCACUACAAGAUGGACCUGCGUUGUAUUAGCUAGUAGGUGAGGUAACGGCUCACCUAGGCGACGAUACAUAGCCGACCUGAGAGGGUGAUCGGCCACACUGGGACUGAGACACGGCCCAGACUCCUACGGGAGGCAGCAGUAGGGAAUCUUCGGCAAUGGGGGCAACCCUGACCGAGCAACGCCGCGUGAGUGAAGAAGGUUUUCGGAUCGUAAAGCUCUGUUGUAAGUCAAGAACGAGUGUGAGAGUGGAAAGUUCACACUGUGACGGUAGCUUACCAGAAAGGGACGGCUAACUACGUGCCAGCAGCCGCGGUAAUACGUAGGUCCCGAGCGUUGUCCGGAUUUAUUGGGCGUAAAGCGAGCGCAGGCGGUUUGAUAAGUCUGAAGUUAAAGGCUGUGGCUCAACCAUAGUUCGCUUUGGAAACUGUCAAACUUGAGUGCAGAAGGGGAGAGUGGAAUUCCAUGUGUAGCGGUGAAAUGCGUAGAUAUAUGGAGGAACACCGGUGGCGAAAGCGGCUCUCUGGUCUGUAACUGACGCUGAGGCUCGAAAGCGUGGGGAGCGAACAGGAUUAGAUACCCUGGUAGUCCACGCCGUAAACGAUGAGUGCUAGGUGUUGGAUCCUUUCCGGGAUUCAGUGCCGCAGCUAACGCAUUAAGCACUCCGCCUGGGGAGUACGACCGCAAGGUUGAAACUCAAAGGAAUUGACGGGGGCCCGCACAAGCGGUGGAGCGUGUGGUUUAAUUCGAAGCAACGCGAAGAACCUUACCAGGUCUUGACAUCCCGAUGCUAUUUCUAGAGAUAGAAAGUUACUUCGGUACAUCGGUGACAGGUGGUGCAUGGUUGUCGUCAGCUCGUGUCGUGAGAUGUUGGGUUAAGUCCCGCAACGAGCGCAACCCCUAUUGUUAGUUGCCAUCAUUCAGUUGGGCACUCUAGCGAGACUGCCGGUAAUAAACCGGAGGAAGGUGGGGAUGACGUCAAAUCAUCAUGCCCCUUAUGACCUGGGCUACACACGUGCUACAAUGGUUGGUACAACGAGUUGCGAGUCGGUGACGGCAAGCUAAUCUCUUAAAGCCAAUCUCAGUUCGGAUUGUAGGCUGCAACUCGCCUACAUGAAGUCGGAAUCGCUAGUAAUCGCGGAUCAGCACGCCGCGGUGAAUACGUUCCCGGGCCU
Molecule: ribosomal RNA, 1369 nt
Filed under: uncultured bacterium
Lineage: Bacteria
Description: bacterial SSU rRNA
Rfam family: Bacterial small subunit ribosomal RNA
Source: RNAcentral